AUUGAACGCUGGCGGCAGGCUUAACACAUGCGAGUCGAGCGGGGUGAUGGUGCUUGCACUAUCACUUAGCGGCGGACGGGUGAGUAAUGCUUAGGAAUCUGCCUAUUAGUGGGGGACAACAUCUCGAAAGGGAUGCUAAUACCGCGUACGUCCUACGGGAGAAAGCAGGGGAUCACUUGUGAACUUGCGCGAAUAGAUGCGCCAAAGUCGGAUUAGCUAGUUGGUGGGGUAAAGGCCUACCAAGGCGACGAUCUGUAGUGGGUCUGAGAGGAUGAUCCGCCACACUGGGACUGAGACACGGCACGGACUCCUACGGGAGGCAGCAGGGGGGAAUAUUGGACAAUGGGGGGAGCCCUGAUCCAGCCAUGCCGCGUGUGUGAAGAAGGCCUUAUGGUUGUAAAGCACUUUAAGCGAGGAGGAGGCUCUUUUGGUUAAUACCCAAGAUGAGUGGACGUUACUCGCAGAAUAAGCACCGGCUAACUCUGUGCCAGCCGCCGCCGUAA
This 503-nucleotide ribosomal RNA is filed under the name uncultured bacterium. RNAcentral's name for it is "partial 16S ribosomal RNA". It matches the Rfam family "Bacterial small subunit ribosomal RNA", at positions 30 to 523 of the family's 1533-position model. The record is from RNAcentral.